GCCUGGGUGGCUCAGUCGGUUGAGCAUCUGACUUCAGCUCAGGUCAUGAUUUCACAGUUUGUGGGUUUGAGCCCCACGUCGGGCU
RNAcentral lists this transfer RNA (85 nucleotides) under Felis catus (domestic cat). It matches the Rfam family "tRNA". From Rfam's summary of the family: Transfer RNA (tRNA) molecules are approximately 80 nucleotides in length. Their secondary structure includes four short double-helical elements and three loops (D, anti-codon, and T loops). Lineage: Eukaryota; Metazoa; Chordata; Mammalia; Carnivora; Felidae. The record is from Rfam by way of RNAcentral.